RNAcentral lists this ribosomal RNA (403 nucleotides) under uncultured bacterium. Its description in RNAcentral is "partial 16S ribosomal RNA". It matches the Rfam family "Bacterial small subunit ribosomal RNA", at positions 28 to 525 of the family's 1533-position model. The record is from RNAcentral.
GACGAACGCUGGCGGCGUGCUUAACACAUGCAAGUCGAGCGGAGCGGCGAACGGGUGAGUAACGCGUGAGUAACUGCCCCCCUCUCUGGGAUAACAGUUGGAAACGGCUGCUAAUACCGGAUAGUGGGGGAUGGCUCGGGUCGUGUCAGCUUGUGGGUGGGGUAGUGGCCUACCAAGGCGAGGAGGGGUUGCCGGCCUGAGCAGGCGACCGGCCACAAUGGGCUGGGAUGCGGCCCAAACGCCUACGGGGGGAAGGAGUGGGGAAUAUUGCAGAAUGGGGGAAGCCGUGAUGCAGCAACGCGCGUGCGAGAUGAUGGCCGUCGGGUUGUAAACCGCUUUCAGCCAUGACGCGGAAGUGACAGAAGAAGCACCGGCUAACUACGGGCCAGCAGCGGCGGUAAUA